GACGUAGGGCGCGAGCGUUGUCCGGAUUUAUUGGGCGUAAAGAGCUCGUAGGCGGCUUGUCGCGUCGUCCGUGAAAACCUGGGGCUCAACCCCAGGCUUGCGGUCGAUACGGGCAGGCUCGAGUUCGGUAGGGGAGACUGGAAUUCCUGGUGUAGCGGUGAAAUGCGUAGAGAUCGGGAGGAACACCAGUGGCGAAGGCGGCCGGCUGGGGGUGACCUGACGCUGAGGCGCGAAAGCGUGGGGAGCGAACCGG
RNAcentral lists this ribosomal RNA (253 nucleotides) under uncultured bacterium. RNAcentral describes it as "partial 16S ribosomal RNA". It matches the Rfam family "Bacterial small subunit ribosomal RNA", at positions 524 to 776 of the family's 1533-position model. The record is from RNAcentral.